This 425-nucleotide ribosomal RNA is filed under the name uncultured bacterium. Its description in RNAcentral is "partial 16S ribosomal RNA". It matches the Rfam family "Bacterial small subunit ribosomal RNA", at positions 354 to 796 of the family's 1533-position model. The record is from RNAcentral.
GUGGGGAAUCUUAGACAAUGGGGGAAACCCUGAUCUAGCCAUGUCGCGUGAUCGAUGAAGGCCUUAGGGUUGUAAAGAUCUUUCAGCUGGGAAGAUAAUGACGGUACCAGCAGAAGAAGCCCCGGCUAACUCCGUGCCAGCAGCCGCGGUAAUACGGAGGGGGCUAGCGUUGUUCGGAAUUACUGGGCGUAAAGCGCGCGUAGGCGGACCAGAAAGUUGGAGGUGAAAUCCCAGGGCUCAACCUUGGAACUGCCUUCAAAACUCCUGGUCUGGAGUUCGAGGGAGGUGAGUGGAAUUCCGAGUGUAGAGGUGAAAUUCGUAGAUAUUCGGAGGAACACCAGUGGCGAAGGCGGCUCACUGGCUCGAUACUGACGCUGAGGUGCGAAAGCGUGGGGAGCAAACAGGAUUAGAUACCCCGGUAGUCC